GACGAACGCUGGCGGCGUGCUUAACACAUGCAAGUCGAACGGAAAGGCCCUGCUUGCAGGGUACUCGAGUGGCGAACGGGUGAGUAACACGUGGGGGAUCUGCCCUGCACUUCGGGAUAAGCUUGGGAAACUGGGUCUAAUACCGGAUAGGAACCAUCUUGAGUGUAGUGGUUGGAAAGUUUUUUCGGUGUAGGAUGAGCUCGCGGCCUAUCAGCUUGUUGGUGGGGUAAUGGCCUACCAAGGCGGCGACGGGUAGCCGGCCCGAGAGGGUGUACGGCCACAUUGGGACUGAGAUACGGCCCAGACUCCUACGGGAGGCAGCAGUGGCGAAUAUUGAUCAAUGGGCGCAAGCCUGAUGCAGCGACGCCGCGUGGGGGAUGAAGGCCUUCGGGUUGUAAACUCAUUUCGCUAGGGACGAAGCUUUUUGUGACGGUACCUAGAUAAGAAGCACCGGCUAACUACGUG
This 465-nucleotide ribosomal RNA is filed under the name uncultured bacterium. RNAcentral describes it as "partial 16S ribosomal RNA". It matches the Rfam family "Bacterial small subunit ribosomal RNA", at positions 28 to 507 of the family's 1533-position model. The record is from RNAcentral.